CUCUUCUGUCAGCAGAGGCUGAAAAUGCUUCCUGCGUUUUGUACAACGUGGCCUGAGGAAGGUUUAUGGCUUUUUUUAAGUGAAAAGAGCUGUGAGCUUGAGGAAGUUUGACAGUGCCAUGCUAUUUAUUCUAACUCUUGCAGUCAUUGGGCAAAUGGCAGGUCAAGAGAGUUGAAAGGUGCAGGCAUGGUGUGCUGAAGAGGAUGCUGAACAAUCAAGGAGAAACACUGCAGAGUGCGCUGAGAGCGUUUGCAAGGUGAUGGCAUGGGUAUUGCUGAGUUUACAUUUCGAUGUGACCAAUAUUUUACAGAUCUGGAUCCAUUGCAGCUGACAAAGCCAGAGAGCACAUGGACCUGGCAAUGAUAGAUAUGGAUGCUGUGCAUACCGUACAUGGGGAGGACAAGAACUGCAAUGUAGCCACCUCUGAGGAGGCAGCCACCAGCAAGACACAUAUUGUGGGGAACACGCUUGAAGCUCCCAUGAGUCCUUCUGAUGCCACUGGUCCUCAGGGCAAAGGGGAUAUUAAUGAGAGAUAAUGCAGCAGGUAAGGUGAAUUAUUUCCACCUGAGAGGU
This 573-nucleotide long non-coding RNA is filed under the name Anas platyrhynchos (mallard). RNAcentral's name for it is "lncRNA (ENSAPLG00020007024.1)". Lineage: Eukaryota; Metazoa; Chordata; Aves; Anseriformes; Anatidae. The record is from RNAcentral.